UAACAGUUUCCACUUUUCAACAUGGCAGAUCAAUUUGUGUUGUAUUAUCAUGUGACGGCAAAAAACUCUGCGUUUACCAGUUAACUUGUGCGUGAAAAAUUCUCAAUUAUUGGGCGGCCGUAAAUACGGACAUUAGCCGCCAUGGUGGACAUUAAAAAUCCACCGUUCAGUGAUAUAAAAAGGCCAGAGGAGGUCGUCGCGAUGGCGAUGAACGAUAGCCUGAAAUUUGCCGUGUUGAUCGGACUGAUCGAGGUGGGACAGGUGUCUAAUCGUGAGGUGGUCAACACCGUACUGCACUUGGUCUUCGCUCUUAUCAUGAUUCGGCGA
This 327-nucleotide unclassified non-coding RNA is filed under the name Athalia rosae (coleseed sawfly). Its description in RNAcentral is "misc RNA ENSAEAG00005008309.1". Lineage: Eukaryota; Metazoa; Arthropoda; Insecta; Hymenoptera; Athaliidae. The record is from RNAcentral.